RNAcentral lists this ribosomal RNA (280 nucleotides) under uncultured Acholeplasma sp. RNAcentral's name for it is "partial 16S ribosomal RNA". It matches the Rfam family "Bacterial small subunit ribosomal RNA", at positions 1100 to 1382 of the family's 1533-position model. The record is from RNAcentral. Lineage: Bacteria; Bacillati; Mycoplasmatota; Mollicutes; Acholeplasmatales; Acholeplasmataceae.
AACCCUUAUUGCUAGUACCAUCAUUGAGUUGGGGACGUCUAGCGAGACUGCCAGUGAUAAACUGGAGGAAGGUGGGGAUGACGUCAAAUCAUCAUGCCCCUUAUGACCUGGGCUACAAACGUGAUACAAUGGCUGAAACAAAGGGCAGCGAAGCAGUGAUGUGGAGCGAAACCCAAAAAGCAGUCUCAGUUCGGAUUGAAGUCUGCAACUCGACUUCAUGAAGUCGGAAUCGCUAGUAAUCGCGGAUCAGAACGCCGCGGUGAAUACGUUCUCGGGGUUU